UUUUUAGUAGUUAAAAUCUAA
RNAcentral lists this non-coding RNA (21 nucleotides) under Caenorhabditis elegans. Lineage: Eukaryota; Metazoa; Nematoda; Chromadorea; Rhabditida; Rhabditidae. The record is from RNAcentral.